This 334-nucleotide unclassified non-coding RNA is filed under the name soil metagenome. Its description in RNAcentral is "partial contains 5.8S ribosomal RNA, internal transcribed spacer 2, and large subunit ribosomal RNA". The stretch from base 1 to 120 matches the Rfam family "5.8S ribosomal RNA", at positions 35 to 154 of the family's 154-position model. The record is from RNAcentral.
GAUGAAGAACGUAGCGAAAUGCGAUAAGUAAUGUGAAUUGCAGAAUUCAGUGAAUCAUCGAAUCUUUGAACGCACAUUGCGCCCCCCAGUAUUCUGGCGGGCAAGCCUGUUCGAGCGUCAUUUCAACCAUCAAGCCCUGCUUGUGUUGGGGUCCUGCGGCUGCCCGCAGGCCCUGAAAACCAGUGGCGGGCUCGCUAGUCACACCGAGCGCAGUAGCACAUCUCGCUCAGGGCGUGCGGCGGGCUCCAGCCGUUAAAGCACCCACCUUUCGCAAGGUUGACCUCGGAUCAGGUAGGAAUACCCGCUGAACUUAAGCAUAUCAAUAAGCGGAGGA